UCGGUUUAAAGUGUACGAUACUCGAACCGUAGCCUAGCGUAUACCAUACAACGCACAGCAUACCUAUAGAUCGGUAUAGUUCGGCCUGCGGCCUGACUAACGGUUGACGAAAUGUUAUCGAGCGUGUUUAUUGGGACGCACGACAGCUCCCUUUGAGAGGUUUCUUUUCUCGAAAGUUCUCCCCAACGGACGCCGACACCCGACAACACCACCUGUAAUAUGUAUGUGCUCGAGACAAUGAAGGAAAUAUCCAUUCGUCGUUGCGUACAAUGCGUAAAAUAUACGUAAUGCGUUGCAUUUUACAAGUCUCCGGGAGUUCCUGGUGUGGGGAAAGAGAGAGGAUCGAUGGGGCGAGACGUCUCCUGCACCACGCCCAAGCCGGGGGUGGUUAUACGACGAUGAUUCAUCCCAUGCCGAGUUCACGCACCCCCAUUGAAAUUCGGUAUUUGGGAAUCGAGUUUAGCAUAACUCUAGAAGGAGGCAGUAGCGAACGACAGACACCUAUAUGGCAUAAUGUGACAGCCAAGAAAAUGCUAAUAGGUACAUCAACGCUAUGUGGGUAUAACUAUUUCUGUGAACCGUUUCUGUCCCACUUACGAUAAAACUUUACAUAAUAAUUAUAAACAUGAAAGUUAGCUAUAUAAUGUAUAUAUGGCCAUACAGUGCAUCUGCGCAACGAAGAAGAGGCUUUGAAUUUCAUACAUUCAGAGCGAACUGUGUAGAAUAUAUUACAUACAUUAUAUACGUAUGGAUAUUAGACUAAUGAAAUAUGGAAUGAAGUCAGUUACGAAAUGAGAAAAAAAAAAUACAUGAAAAUGGGAAAACAUUCUCCGAAAAUGAACAGUCAUUUGUCAUUCAAUGUUAGAUUUUUCAAAAGUCAUUUUGAUUGUUUGUGAUUAAAUAUUAAUUCUUAUUUCCUAUCGCUAUCCCAAUUAAUAUGUUUUUUUCUUUUUUUGCCUCUGUUGGUGUGAAACGGAUUUCAAACCGUGGAAACCCAUUUCUGUACGCAUCGUCGGUACUGCGUGUUCGUGAAAAGUGAAACAAAGAAAGGUGCUCGUGACGAUUUUGGCGCGGAGGUUU
This 1080-nucleotide long non-coding RNA is filed under the name Neodiprion pinetum (white pine sawfly). RNAcentral's name for it is "uncharacterized LOC124211890". Lineage: Eukaryota; Metazoa; Arthropoda; Insecta; Hymenoptera; Diprionidae. The record is from RNAcentral.